This 253-nucleotide ribosomal RNA is filed under the name uncultured bacterium. RNAcentral describes it as "partial 16S ribosomal RNA". It matches the Rfam family "Bacterial small subunit ribosomal RNA", at positions 524 to 776 of the family's 1533-position model. The record is from RNAcentral.
UACGAAGGGUGCAAGCGUUACUCGGAAUUACUGGGCGUAAAGCGUGCGUAGGUGGUUUGUUAAGUCUGUUGUGAAAGCCCCGGGCUCAACCUGGGAAUGGCAAUGGAUACUUGCAAGCUAGAGUGCGGUAGAGGGUAGUGGAAUUCCCGGUGUAGCGGUGAAAUGCGUAGAGAUCGGGAGGAACACCAGUGGCGAAGGCGGCUACCUGGACCAGCACUGACACUGAGGCACGAAAGCGUGGGGAGCAAACAGG